This 440-nucleotide ribosomal RNA is filed under the name uncultured bacterium. RNAcentral's name for it is "partial 16S ribosomal RNA". It matches the Rfam family "Bacterial small subunit ribosomal RNA", at positions 338 to 795 of the family's 1533-position model. The record is from RNAcentral.
CCUACGGGUGGCAGCAGUGGGGGAUAUUGCACAAUGGGGGAAACCCUGAUGCAGCGACGCCGCGUGGGGGAAGAAGGGCCUCGGCGCGUAAAGCCCUGUCAGCAGGGAAGAAAAUGACGGUACCUGAGGAAGAAGCCCCGGCUAACUACGUGCCAGCAGCCGCGGUAAUACGUAGGGGGCAAGCGUUAUCCGGAUUUACUGGGUGUAAAGGGGGCGCAGACGGGGAUUCAAGCCAGUAGUGAAAGCCCGGGGCCCAACCCCGGGACUGCACUUGAAACUGCUUGGCUUGAGUGCAGGAGGGGCAGGCGGAAUUCCUGGUGUAGCGGUGAAAUGCGUAGAUAUCAGGAGGAACACCAGUGGCGAAGGCGGCUUGCUGGACUGCAACUGACGUUGAGGCACGAAAGCGUAGGGAGCAAACAGGAUUAGAUACCCGUGUAGUC